This 358-nucleotide ribosomal RNA is filed under the name Salmonella enterica subsp. enterica serovar Kiambu. Its description in RNAcentral is "bacterial LSU rRNA". It matches the Rfam family "Bacterial large subunit ribosomal RNA", at positions 454 to 816 of the family's 2925-position model. Lineage: Bacteria; Pseudomonadati; Pseudomonadota; Gammaproteobacteria; Enterobacterales; Enterobacteriaceae. The record is from RNAcentral.
CAUCCUCCAAGGCUAAAUACUCCUGACUGACCGAUAGUGAACCAGUACCGUGAGGGAAAGGCGAAAAGAACCCCGGCGAGGGGAGUGAAAAAGAACCUGAAACCGUGUACGUACAAGCAGUGGGAGCACCUUCGGGUGUGACUGCGUACCUUUUGUAUAAUGGGUCAGCGACUUAUAUUCUGUAGCAAGGUUAACCGUAUAGGGGAGCCGCAGGGAAACCGAGUCUUAACCGGGCGUUAAGUUGCAGGGUAUAGACCCGAAACCCGGUGAUCUAGCCAUGGGCAGGUUGAAGGUUGGGUAACACUAACUGGAGGACCGAACCGACUAAUGUUGAAAAAUUAGCGGAUGACCUGUGGCU